RNAcentral lists this ribosomal RNA (393 nucleotides) under uncultured bacterium. RNAcentral's name for it is "bacterial SSU rRNA". It matches the Rfam family "Bacterial small subunit ribosomal RNA", at positions 9 to 397 of the family's 1533-position model. The record is from RNAcentral.
GAGUUUGAUCCUGGCUCAGGAUGAACGCUAGCGGCAGGCCUAAUACAUGCAAGUCGAGGGGCAGCGCAGUGUAGCAAUACAUGGGCGGCGACCGGCAAACGGGUGCGGAACACGUACAGAACCUUCCUUCGAGCGGGGAAUAGCCCAGAGAAAUUUGGAUUAAUACCCCAUAGUAUAUUGGAGUGGCAUCACUUUGAUAUUAAAGAUUUAUCACUUGAAGAUGGCUGUGCGUCUGAUUAGGUAGUUGGUGGGGUAACGGCCCACCAAGCCAACGAUCAGUAACUGGUGUGAGAGCACGACCAGUCACACGGGCACUGAGACACGGGCCCGACUCCUACGGGAGGCAGCAGUAAGGAAUAUUGGUCAAUGGACGCAAGUCUGAACCAGCCAUGC